Molecule: ribosomal RNA, 215 nt
Filed under: uncultured bacterium
Lineage: Bacteria
Description: partial 16S ribosomal RNA
Rfam family: Bacterial small subunit ribosomal RNA
Source: RNAcentral
UCCCAGUUCGAAUUGAAGGCUGAAAUUCGCCUUCCAUGAAGUCGGAAUUGCUAGUAAUGGCAGGUCAGCAUACUGCCGUGAAUACGUUCCCGGGCCUUGUACACACCGCCCGUCACACCAUGAGAGUUGGAGAUACCCGAAGCCUGUGAGCUAACUUUUAGAGGCAGCAGUCGAAGGUAGAAUCAAUGAUUGGGGUGAAGUCGUAACAAGGUAUC